UAGAGAAAAACGGACUGUGCCAUGGUAUAACAUUAAUACUCACUCUCUCAAGAAAGUAACUCAUAGUCUUGAACGCAAAUGGAGAAAAACUAACUUGGAAGUUUUUAGAAUUGCAUGGAAAAAUAGUAUGUCCAGCUAUAGACAGGCUCUAAAAACUGCUAGGGCAGAGCAUAAACACAAACUCAUUGAAAACAAUCCAAGGUUUUUAUUUAGCACAGUGGCUAUAUUAACAAAUUACCAGACGCCACCUGAUUCAAAUAUUCCACCAACAUUAAAUAGUAAUGACUUUAUGAAUUUCUUCACUGAUAAAAUAGACAACAUUAGAAAUACAAUACCGAAUGUAGAUUCUACAGCGUCUAACACUUCAGUUACAUCCAUCGCACCCAAAGAUAAACUGCAGUGCUUUACAACAAUAGGACAGGAAGAGCUAAAUAAACUUAUCACUGUAUCUAAACCAACAACAUGUUUAUUAGAUCUUGUUCCCACUAAAUUACUGAAAGAGUUGUUACCUGUAGCCGAAGAACCGCUUCUCAAUAAUAUUAACUCGUCGUUAUCUGUAGGUCAUGUCCCAAAACCAUUCAAGCUGGCGGUUAUCAAGCAUCUUAUUAAGAAACCAAAACUAGAUCCUAGUGUACUGGCAAAUGAUAUGCCUAUUUCAAAUCUUCCAUUUAUGUCUAAAAUUUUAGAAAAAGUUGUGUCUGCUCAAUUGAGCACUUUCCUGCACAAAAAUGAUCUGUAUGAAGAAUUUCAGUCAGGUUUCAGGCCCCACCAUAGCACAGAAACUGCACUUGUUAAAAUUACAAAUGACCUGCUUCUUGCGUCAGAUUAAGGCUGCAUCUCAUUUCUAGUCUUACUUGAUCUUAGUGCUACGUUCGACACCAUAGAUCAUGACAUACUCAUACAGGGAGUGCAGAAUUAUUAGGCAAGUUGUAUUUUUGAGGAAUAAUUUUAUUAUUGAACAACAACAAUUUUCUCAAUGAUUCCAAAAACUCAAUAUCAAAGCUGAAUAUUUUUGGAAGUAGUUUUUAGUUUGUUUUUAGUUGUA
This 1045-nucleotide long non-coding RNA is filed under the name Carassius auratus (goldfish). RNAcentral's name for it is "lncRNA (ENSCARG00000036609.1)". The record is from RNAcentral. Lineage: Eukaryota; Metazoa; Chordata; Actinopteri; Cypriniformes; Cyprinidae.